Molecule: long non-coding RNA, 200 nt
Filed under: Elaeis guineensis (African oil palm)
Lineage: Eukaryota; Viridiplantae; Streptophyta; Magnoliopsida; Arecales; Arecaceae
Description: long non-coding RNA (EGUI_LNC038205)
Source: RNAcentral
GGGUUUGGAGAUGUCUGACUUAUCUCAAAUAUUUGAAAACGGACAAACUAGGAGCCAGAUCUGAUAGAUAUAAUUUUAUUGGAUAUCUCAAAGAAACUAAGGAGUAUUACUUCUAUCUUGCUGAUGAACAAAAGGUAUUUGUCAGUCUUAGGGCAGUCUUUUUAGAAAAAAAAUUUUUGAAGAAGGGAUUAAUGCUUCUA